Molecule: ribosomal RNA, 593 nt
Filed under: uncultured bacterium
Lineage: Bacteria
Description: bacterial SSU rRNA
Rfam family: Bacterial small subunit ribosomal RNA
Source: RNAcentral
GUGAGAUAACGGCUCACCAAGGCGACGACGGGUAGCUGGUCUGAGAGGACGAUCAGCCACACUGGGACUGAGACACGGCCCAGACUCCUACGGGAGGCAGCAGUGGGGAAUCUUGCGCAAUGGGCGAAAGCCUGACGCAGCAACGCCGCGUGGGGGAUGAAGGCCUUCGGGUUGUAAACCCCUUUCAGUGGGAACGAAAUUGACGGUACCCACAGAAGAAGCCCCGGCCAACUACGUGCCAGCAGCCGCGGUGAUACGUAGGGGGCGAGCGUUGUCCGGAUUCAUUGGGCGUAAAGAGCUCGUAGGCGGCUUGGUAAGUCGGGUGUGAAACCUCCAGGCUCAACCUGGAGACGCCACUCGAUACUGCCCUGGCUAGAGUCCGGUAGGGGAUCACGGAAUUCCUGGUGUAGCGGUGAAAUGCGCAGAUAUCAGGAGGAACACCAGUGGCGAAGGCGGUGAUCUGGGCCGGUACUGACGCUGAGGAGCGAAAGCGUGGGGAGCGAACAGGAUUAGAUACCGUGGUAGUCCACGCCGUAAACGUUGGGCACUAGGUGUGGGGCCUUAUCGACGGGUUCCGUGCCGCAGCUAACGCA